This 253-nucleotide ribosomal RNA is filed under the name uncultured bacterium. RNAcentral describes it as "partial 16S ribosomal RNA". It matches the Rfam family "Bacterial small subunit ribosomal RNA", at positions 524 to 776 of the family's 1533-position model. The record is from RNAcentral.
UACGUAGGGUGCGAGCGUUAAUCGGAUUCACUGGGCGUAAAGGGUGCGUAGGUGGCCAGGUAAGUUCGGUGUGAAAGCUCGGAGCUUAACUCCGAAAUGGCAUUGAAUACUAUCUGGCUAGAGGGUCGGAGGGGAGACUGGAAUUCUCGGUGUAGCAGUGAAAUGCGUAGAUAUCGAGAGGAACACCAGUGGCGAAGGCGGGUCUCUGGGCCGAUACUGACGCUGAGGAGCGAAAGCGUGGGGAGCGAACAGG